This 82-nucleotide small nuclear RNA is filed under the name Ailuropoda melanoleuca (giant panda). Lineage: Eukaryota; Metazoa; Chordata; Mammalia; Carnivora; Ursidae. The record is from RNAcentral.
CUAAAAUUGGAAUGAUAAGAGGAAGAUUAGCAUGACACCUACACAAGUUGACACACAAAUUCAUGAAGCGAUCCAUAUUUAA